Molecule: non-coding RNA, 214 nt
Organism: Pelobates cultripes (western spadefoot toad)
Lineage: Eukaryota; Metazoa; Chordata; Amphibia; Anura; Pelobatidae
Source: the annotation of a GenBank genome assembly
AUCCAAAAUUCACCCAGAUCCGUUCAGUACUUUGGAAGAUACAGUUUAAUGCAGAUUCUGCAGAACAUAUACAGGCUAAAUGAAAAACAAUCACUUUAUAAUGUGUCCCCUGCUGUAUAGUCCAAAACCACUGCACGAUGUCUCUGUGCACCAAAUACUGGCAAGAUGGCACCGUGUUGAAAAGUCCAAACAGUGUCUGUGAGUUAAAAUGGCC